UCUGGCUGGGGUUAAGCUACUACACCAAUAAAAAGCAACUGCAGCUGACAUGUUUACAGGAAAAGUGGUUGACUGGAAGCCAGUAAAUGUCACUAGAAGUACAUUCAUCUUCUAUAAAACAGAAUAACUAUUUCAUGCUGAUAAAAAAGAAACCUUUGAAAGGUAAGAUUGAUGUAUGUUGUAUCUGAGAGAUAAACACUCGGAGAGGAUUCAAACACAAGGCUGUCUGACUGCAUCUUGACUGCCCACCAGCUGUCACAGAUGAAGAAUAUCAGCUUCUACCUCUGAAGAGGAAGCAGCACUUCACAUCCUCUCUGCACUUCCCAAGUAACCAGGGAUAUGGACAGAAAUAAUGGGAGAGAUCCUUUGUUCCUUCCUAUAGGGAUUCCUCUACUCUGAAGUAAAUGCUGGUGGCUGGCGCCUCUGCCUCUCUCUAUCAGCCCCUGGCACUCACAAUAUGCUUCCACAGUUGGGCAGUUGUCGAGACGAAACCACUGUCUGGUAUAAGAGGGUCAGGAAAUAGCUUCAUGAGUGUAACACAGAGUGGAUACAAGAAUCCCAAAUGAAGGAAUGAUCAUCUGUAUUUCUGCCCACUGCAAACCUUGUGAAUGUUUGGAUGUGGAUUUAUGCUGUGUUCAAGACAAGGAGAGAUGUUUGUGAGUUGUAUUUGAUCAAUUGCAUGCCUUCCAAAUCCUAUGUUUAUCUGGGUAAAUAAUGUUUUGAGGUAAAACCAAAAUCCAAGCAUGUAUUGGGAAAAUAAUUGCACUUCUUAAUAAAAGUAUCUUUAAAAGAUUAUCA
Molecule: long non-coding RNA, 798 nt
Filed under: Cyanistes caeruleus (blue tit)
Lineage: Eukaryota; Metazoa; Chordata; Aves; Passeriformes; Paridae
Description: lncRNA (ENSCCEG00000022824.1)
Source: RNAcentral